This 402-nucleotide ribosomal RNA is filed under the name uncultured Rhodoplanes sp. RNAcentral describes it as "bacterial SSU rRNA". It matches the Rfam family "Bacterial small subunit ribosomal RNA", at positions 355 to 774 of the family's 1533-position model. Lineage: Bacteria; Pseudomonadati; Pseudomonadota; Alphaproteobacteria; Hyphomicrobiales; Nitrobacteraceae. The record is from RNAcentral. RNAcentral also lists the same sequence under 1 other name.
UGGGGAAUAUUGGACAAUGGGCGCAAGCCUGAUCCAGCCAUGCCGCGUGGAUGAUGAAGGCCUUAGGGUUGUAAAGUCCUUUCAGCGGGGAAGAUAAUGACGGUACCCGCAGAAGAAGCCCCGGCUAACUUCGUGCCAGCAGCCGCGGUAAUACGAAGGGGGCUAGCGUUGCUCGGAAUUACUGGGCGUAAAGCGCACGUAGGCGGCUCUUUAAGUCGGGGGUGAAAUCCUGGAGCUCAACUCCAGAACUGCCUUCGAUACUGAAGAGCUCGAGUCCGGGAGAGGUGAGUGGAACUGCGAGUGUAGAGGUGAAAUUCGUAGAUAUUCGCAAGAACACCAGUGGCGAAGGCGGCUCACUGGCCCGGUACUGACGCUGAGGUGCGAAAGCGUGGGGAGCAAACA